This 469-nucleotide ribosomal RNA is filed under the name uncultured Desulfobacteraceae bacterium. RNAcentral describes it as "bacterial SSU rRNA". It matches the Rfam family "Bacterial small subunit ribosomal RNA", at positions 336 to 796 of the family's 1533-position model. Lineage: Bacteria; Pseudomonadati; Thermodesulfobacteriota; Desulfobacteria; Desulfobacterales; Desulfobacteraceae. The record is from RNAcentral.
UUCCUACGGGCGGCUGCAGUGAGGAAUUUUGCGCAAUGGGGGGAACCCUGACGCAGCAACGCCGCGUGAGUGAAGAAGGCUUUCGGGUCGUAAAGCUCUGUCAAGAGGGAAGAAAGUGGGCUAUGGUAAUACUGUAAUCUAUUGACGGUACCUCUGAAGGAAGCACCGGCUAACUCCGUGCCAGCAGCCGCGGUAAUACGGGGGGUGCAAGCGUUAUUCGGAUUUAUUGGGCGUAAAGAGCGCGUAGGCGGUGUAUCAAGUCAGAUGUGAAAGCCCUGGGCUCAACCUGGGAAGUGCAUUUGAAACUAGUAGACUUGAGUAUGGGAGAGGGGAGUGGAAUUCCUGGUGUAGAGGUGAAAUUCGUAGAUAUCAGGAGGAACACCGGUGGCGAAGGCGACUUCCUGGACCAAUACUGACGCUGAGGCGCGAAGGCGUGGGGAGCAAACAGGAUUAGAUACCCGGGUAGUCG